Molecule: long non-coding RNA, 300 nt
Filed under: Elaeis guineensis (African oil palm)
Lineage: Eukaryota; Viridiplantae; Streptophyta; Magnoliopsida; Arecales; Arecaceae
Description: long non-coding RNA (EGUI_LNC082364)
Source: RNAcentral
GCUUCUGAGGUCUGAGACCUCCGACCUUGUAGCUUUCUUUUACUGCAAUUUUUCCCUUUCUUUUUGUCUUCAAGAAUCAUUCAAUCAAUAAAGUUGAAUUUCUCACCGUGGAUGGCUUCCCUUCUCCCCCUUUUUAUUUUUCUUUCUGCAAUGAGAUGCACCUUGAUGCUUCUGUCUCUUGAUGGCAGUGUCCUGCCAAGGCACUUCUCCUGCUCCAGGAGAUCCCACUGAAGUCCACGAUCCAGCGGCUGAAGAAGGAGGUUCUUCAUGCGAUGAAAAGGUCGAAAAAGAUGGUAGGCA